This 554-nucleotide ribosomal RNA is filed under the name uncultured bacterium. Its description in RNAcentral is "bacterial SSU rRNA". It matches the Rfam family "Bacterial small subunit ribosomal RNA", at positions 355 to 896 of the family's 1533-position model. The record is from RNAcentral.
UAGGGAAUUNUUCGGCAAUGGACGAAAGUCNNGACCGAGCAACCGCCGCNUGAGUGAAGNAAGGUUUUCGGAUNGUAAAGCUCUGUUGUAAGAGAAGAACGGGUGUGAGAGUGGAAAGUUCACACUGUGACGGUAUCUUACCAGAAAGGGACGGCUAACUACGUGCCAGCAGCCGCGGUAAUACGUAGGUCCCGAGCGUUGUCCGGAUUUAUUGGGCGUAAAGCGAGCGCAGGCGGUUAGAUAAGUCUGAAGUUAAAGGCUGUGGCUUAACCAUAGUACGCUUUGGAAACUGUUUAACUUGAGUGCAGAAGGGGAGAGUGGAAUUCCAUGUGUAGUGGUGAAAUGCGUAGAUAUAUGGAGAAACACCGGUGGCGAAAGCGGCUCUCUGGUCUGUAACUGACGCUGAGGCUCGAAAGCGUGGGGAGCGAACAGGAUUAGAUACCCUGGUAGUCCACGCCGUAAACGAUGAGUGCUAGGUGUUAGGCCCUUUCCGGGGCUUAGUGCCGCAGCUAACGCAUUAAGCACUCCGCCUGGGGAGUACGACCGCAAGGUUG